GAUGAAGAACGUAGCGAAAUGCGAUAAGUAGUGUGAAUUGCAGAACUCAGUGAAUCAUCGAAUCUUUGAACGCACAUUGCGCCCCUUGGUAUUCCAUGGGGCAUGCCUGUUCGAGCGUCAUUUGUACCUUCAAGCUCUGCUUGGUGUUGGGUGUUUGUCUCGCCUCUGCGUGUAGACUCGCCUCAAAACAAUUGGCAGCCGGCGUAUUGAUUUCGGAGCGCAGUACAUCUCGCGCUUUGCACUCAUAACGACGACGUCCAAAAGUACAUUUUUACACUCUUGACCUCGGAUCAGGUAGGGAUACCCGCUGAACUUAAGCAUAUCAAUAAGCGGAGGA
Molecule: unclassified non-coding RNA, 337 nt
Filed under: soil metagenome
Description: partial contains 5.8S ribosomal RNA, internal transcribed spacer 2, and large subunit ribosomal RNA
Rfam family: 5.8S ribosomal RNA (bases 1-120)
Source: RNAcentral